CAGUCGAACGGACUCAUAUUGAAACCUAGUGAUUUAUGAGUUAGUGGCGGACGGGUGAGUAACGCGUGGAUAACCUGCCGUAUACCGGGGGAUAACACUUAGAAAUAGGUGCUAAUACCGCAUAAGCGCACGGCUCCGCAUGGGGCAGUGUGAAAAACUCCGGUGGUAUACGAUGGAUCCGCGUCUGAUUAGCUAGUUGGCGGGGUAACGGCCCACCAAGGCAGCGAUCAGUAGCCGGCCUGAGAGGGUGGACGGCCACAUUGGGACUGAGACACGGCCCAAACUCCUACGGGAGGCAGCAGUGGGGAAUAUUGCACAAUGGGGGAAACCCUGAUGCAGCGACGCCGCGUGAGUGAAGAAGUAUCUCGGUACGUAAAGCUCUAUCAGCAGGGAAGAAAAUGACGGUACCUGACUAAGAAGCCCCGGCUAACUACGUGCCAGCAGCCGCGGUAAUACGUAGGGGGCAAGCGUUAUCCGGAUUUACUGGGUGUAAAGGGAGCGUAGACGGCAGCACAAGUCUGGAGUGAAAUCCCGGGGCUUAACCCCGGAACUGCUUUGGAAACUGUGCGGCUGGAGUGCAGGAGGGGUAAGCGGAAUUCCUAGUGUAGCGGUGAAAUGCGUAGAUAUUAGGAGGAACACCGGUGGCGAAGGCGGCUUACUGGACUGUAACUGACGUUGAGGCUCGAAAGCGUGGGGAGCAAACAGGAUUAGAUACCCUGGUAGUCCACGCCGUAAACGAUGAUUACU
This 747-nucleotide ribosomal RNA is filed under the name uncultured bacterium. RNAcentral's name for it is "bacterial SSU rRNA". It matches the Rfam family "Bacterial small subunit ribosomal RNA", at positions 59 to 817 of the family's 1533-position model. The record is from RNAcentral.